RNAcentral lists this small RNA (287 nucleotides) under Oryza sativa Japonica Group (Japanese rice). RNAcentral's name for it is "sRNA Os03g0698400". The record is from RNAcentral. Lineage: Eukaryota; Viridiplantae; Streptophyta; Magnoliopsida; Poales; Poaceae.
AAUGAUAUGGCUAGAGGAAAUUUUACUGGAAGCUCGAUUCUUUAGUUUGAAGUUGCUGUUGUGUUUUAUGCAGCUUAAGAAGUUAUUGGCCUGUUAAGCAGCAGAUCAGCAUACCAACUAUUCUUGGACUAGUGUAAAAUAUUAGAAGCUGUCAUUUUAGUUUUUCUUUUUGAGAGAGAAAAGUGGCAUUUAGUUGAAAAAUUCUUUUUCUCUUUUUGGUAUACACCAUUCUUUUUGGUUAACCAUUUUGCUACCAGGCUUUUCAUUUUGAUUAGCCACUUCCAAAC